AAACCUCCCGCAACGACGUUAAAAAACUGCGCGGUCUGCGCCCUAUUGGCGUGGGCAACACCGUUUAAGUGCUGAGAAUGCCCGGCGAGAGCCCCGCACAACCAGCAGCCAGCAGUUACUGCCUGGUCCACASAUCAAUCGACGGUGACCGUUAUCGGUUAAGUUAUGACCGGUCCAGAGRCCCAACGGGCCCUGGAGCCAUGGAACC
Molecule: ribosomal RNA, 208 nt
Filed under: Physcia adscendens
Lineage: Eukaryota; Fungi; Ascomycota; Lecanoromycetes; Caliciales; Physciaceae
Description: partial 18S ribosomal RNA
Source: RNAcentral